ACUGGGUGUGGUGGUAUGUGCCUGUAAUCCCAGCUGCUUGGGAGGCUGAGGCAGGAGAAUUUCUUGAGUCCAGGAGUUCUGAGCUGUAGUGAGCUAUGUGGCUGAGCUGUCUGCACAAUUUAGCAUUAACACAGUGAUUUCCCAGCAGUGGGGGAUCAGUAGGCUGCCUAAGGAGGGAUGAGCUGUCUGAGGAUGAAAAUGGAGUAAAUCAAAACUCCUGUGCUGAUCAGUAGUGAGAUCAUGCAUGUGAGUACCACUACUGCACUCCAGCCUGGGCAACAGAGAGAGACUCCAUCUCCU
Molecule: unclassified non-coding RNA, 300 nt
Organism: Callithrix jacchus (white-tufted-ear marmoset)
Lineage: Eukaryota; Metazoa; Chordata; Mammalia; Primates; Cebidae
Rfam family: Metazoan signal recognition particle RNA
About the family: The signal recognition particle (SRP) is a universally conserved ribonucleoprotein.
Source: Ensembl